UUCUUGGUCAUUUAGAGGAAGUAAAAGUCGUAACAAGGUUUCCGUAGGUGAACCUGCGGAAGGAUCAUUAAAGAAAUUUAAUAAUUUUGAAAAUGGAUUUUUUUGUUUUGGCAAGAGCAUGAGAGCUUUUACUGGGCAAGAAGACAAGAGAUGGAGAGUCCAGCCGGGCCUGCGCUUAAGUGCGCGGUCUUGCUAGGCUUGUAAGUUUCUUUCUUGCUAUUCCAAACGGUGAGAGAUUUCUGUGCUUUUGUUAUAGGACAAUUAAAACCGUUUCAAUACAACACACUGUGGAGUUUUCAUAUCUUUGCAACUUUUUCUUUGGGCAUUCGAGCAAUCGGGGCCCAGAGGUAACAAACACAAACAAUUUUAUCUAUUCAUUAAAUUUUUGUCAAAAACAAGAAUUUUCGUAACUGGAAAUUUUAAAAUAUUAAAAACUUUCAACAACGGAUCUCUUGGUUCUCGCAUCGAUGAAGAACGCAGCGAAAUGCGAUACGUAAUGUGAAUUGCAGAAUUCCAUGAAUCAUCGAAUCUUUGAACGCACAUUGCGCCCCUUGGUAUUCCAGGGGGCAUGCCUGUUUGAGUGUCAUUUCCUUCUCAAACAUUCUGUUUGGUAGUGAGUGAUACUCUUUGGAGUUAACUUGAAAUUGCUGGCCUCUUCAUUGGAUGUUUUUUUUCCAAAGAGAGGUUUCUCUGCGUGCUUGAGGUAUAAUGCAAGUACGGUCGUUUUAGGUUUUACCAACUGCGGCUAAUCUUUUUUUAUACUGAGCGUAUUGGAACGUUAUCGAUAAGAAGAGAGCGUCUAGGCGAACAAUGUUCUUAAAGUUUGACCUCAAAUCAGGUAGGAGUACCCGCUGAACUUAAGCAUAUCAAUAAGCGGAGGAA
RNAcentral lists this ribosomal RNA (882 nucleotides) under uncultured fungus. RNAcentral describes it as "eukaryotic LSU rRNA". The stretch from base 433 to 586 matches the Rfam family "5.8S ribosomal RNA". The record is from RNAcentral. Lineage: Eukaryota; Fungi.